AAUCAUCAACUUCAAAAACUUUGUGUUUUUCGAAGCUUGGUCUUGAGGGUUUUUGCAGGCUUCUUGUGAGUCGGCUCCCUUUAAAUCCAUUAGCGAGACUUCCCUGUGCUGAACCGUCUCUUGACGUGAUAGUCUAUCUGCGUCGACUUUGGUUCUCGUUGGGCUUGCUUCUAACCGUCCCACACUUGUGGACAAUAGGAUUUGAGUGCAUAUAUGCGCCCUUUUCCAAACCUU
This 234-nucleotide unclassified non-coding RNA is filed under the name Lindtneria flava. Its description in RNAcentral is "partial internal transcribed spacer 2". Lineage: Eukaryota; Fungi; Basidiomycota; Agaricomycetes; Agaricales; Stephanosporaceae. The record is from RNAcentral.